RNAcentral lists this RNase P RNA (368 nucleotides) under Microbacterium sp. RNAcentral describes it as "RNase P RNA component class A". It matches the Rfam family "Bacterial RNase P class A". Rfam says of the family: Ribonuclease P (RNase P) is a ubiquitous endoribonuclease, found in archaea, bacteria and eukarya as well as chloroplasts and mitochondria. The record is from RNAcentral. Lineage: Bacteria; Bacillati; Actinomycetota; Actinomycetes; Micrococcales; Microbacteriaceae.
UGGGUCGGCUGGACGGUCGCGUCACGGGUUCGCCCGUGCCGAGGAACGUCCGGGCUCCACAGGGCAGGACGGUGGGUAACGCCCACCCGGAGCAAUCCGCGAGACAGUGCCACAGAGAGCAGACCGCCUCGGCCCCUCGGGGUACGGGGUAAGGGUGAAAGGGUGGUGUAAGAGACCACCGGGGUCGUGGUGACACGACCCGCAAGGUAAACCUCGUCCGGAGCAAGGCCAGACAGGGGAUGCAGACGCGGCUCGCCGAGUCCCCGGGUAGGCCGCUGGAGCGGCACGGCAACGUGUCGCCGAGAGAGAUGACCGUCCACGGGGCUCACGCCCCCGGACAGAACCCGGCGUACAGGCCGGCCCAUUCG